UCAACCUACAGCCUGCUGGGAGGGAGCUAGAGGUUGUGUGAUGCCAAAGAGCAGGAGAGGAGCAGAAGUUCAGUUGGUCAUCAGUGGUGGUGCAAUGCUCCAGAUCCUGGACUCACUGCUGAAGGAACUUUGGACAUUUCUGGCAUUGGGUAUCAUCUUACUUUACAGUGUGACUAGGGGAAAAAGGAGCAGAAGCUAAAUAUGUCAGAGGACAUCACUGAAAGAUUACAAAGGUAGUGAAGAAUGAACCGCCUUCAUCAGGCUGCUUUGCUGAAGACAAGUCCUUUGAAAGGCUUCAGUUUUGUUAUGACUCCAUUCAGUGAGCCCUUCCGUACUGCCCUGGGUAGCUUUGCUGCCCUUCACCUGCCUGCGGAUGG
This is a long non-coding RNA of Cygnus olor (mute swan), 377 nucleotides long. RefSeq lists it as uncharacterized. NCBI's taxonomy places the organism in Eukaryota, Metazoa, Chordata, Aves, Anseriformes, Anatidae. The record is from RefSeq and is a predicted model, not a curated record. The transcript is spliced from 4 exons.